UUUUUUUUUUUUUUUUUUUUUUUUUUGAGACAGUCUCGCUCUUGUUGCCCAGGGUGGAGUGCAAUGGCACGAUAUCGGCUCACCACAACCUCUGCCUCCCAGGUUCGAGUGAUUCUCCUGCCUCUGCCGCCCGAGUAGCUAGGAUUACAGGCAUGCGCCACCACGCCCGGCUAAUUUUGUAUUUUUAGUCGAGACAGGGUUUCUCCAUGUUGGUCAGGCUGGUCUCGAACUCCCGACCUCAGGUGAUCCACCCGCCUCAACCUCCCAAAGUGCUGGCAUUACAGGCGUGAGCCACCACUCUCGGCCAGUUCUCUUUCUUUUAUGCUAAAUAAGAGUAAAGAAGAAAAGGGUCUUGAUUGCUGUUGGCAGAUAUUUUUGGAGGACCACUCCAAAAGUCAUCUUUAGGAGGAAGGCAGAAAUGGGGGAAGAAAGGAAACAAGAUCCUUGGUGAUCUGAAGUCAUGAAUCAAUCCUUACCUUAGGCUAGAUCUACCUUUGGACCUUUCAGUGCAAACAUCUAUAAAAUCUCUUGAUUAUCUGAAUCAGUCUUAGUUGGGAUUUUUGUUAUUUGCAAAUAAAAGCACCUUAACCAAUGUAAGGGCAAUAGUGAGACGUGUACUUCUCAGUCCCUAACCUCAGAGAAAGAGCUUCCAAUAUAGCUAGGAAGAUGAGACAUUUUUAUAGGAUAACUAGAGUGGCACAGAAGAAGAAUAUAGAUAUCAGACAUUGAGAGGUGAAGCCAGCUGGGCUUCUGGGUCAGGUGGGGACUUGGAGAACUUUUCUGUCUAGCUAAAGGAUUGUAAAUGCACCAAUCAGCGCUCUGUGUCUAGCUAAUUGGGUGGGGACUUGGAGAACUUUUGUGUCUAGCUAAAGGAUUGUAAACACACCAAUCAGCACUCUGUGUCUAGCUAAAGGUUUGUAAACACACCAAUCAGCACUCUGUCAAAACGGACCAAUCAGCUCUCUGUAAAAUGGACCAAUCAGUGCUCUGUAAAAUGGACCAAUCAGUGCUCUGUAAAAUGGACCAAUCAGCUUUCUGUAAAAUGGACCAAUCAGCAGGAUGUGGGUGGGGCCAAAUAAGGGAAUAAAAGCAAGCCACCCUCGGCAGCAGCAGCAAGGUGAAGAUUUGUUUUUUUUUUGUGGUGUGUAGUAAGUGUCGCUGCUGCUCACUCUUUGGGUCUGCACUGUUUUUGUGAGCUGUAACACUCACCCCGAAUGUCUGUAGCGUCACUUCUGAAGUCAGCGAGACCAGGAACCAACCAGAAAGAAGAAACUCGGUGCACAUCAGAGCAUCAGGAGGAAUAAACUCCGCACACACUAUCUUUAAGAACUGUAACACUCAUCGGGAGGGUCCGCGGCUUCAUUCUUGAAGUGAGUGAGACGAAGAACCCACCAAUUCCGGACCCAGCAUGACUGCAUAAGAUACGGUACGAAAUGGGUGUCACAAAACCAUGACAAACCAUAUGAAAGAUAGAAAAGAAUGCUAUAAGCUACUCAGGAGAAGAUACUAUUACCUGCAUCCCUUCUCUCUUACUUCUGUUAAGCAGGGUGAGGCCUCCUUAAGAGCGUGGUCUCUGGAGUCAGAUUGCAUACGCUUAAUUCUCAGCUUGUCUUAAAUCCCACUUAAAUUGUGUAGACUUAAAUUCCAUUUGCUAGUUUUGUGGUCUUGGGCUAGUAACUUUUCUGCACCUUAAUUUUCUGAUUUGUAAAGUAGGUAUAAAAAACAUAGUAAU
Molecule: long non-coding RNA, 1732 nt
Filed under: Macaca fascicularis (crab-eating macaque)
Lineage: Eukaryota; Metazoa; Chordata; Mammalia; Primates; Cercopithecidae
Description: lncRNA (ENSMFAG00000052879.1)
Source: RNAcentral